AGCGAACGCUAGCGGCGGGCCUAACACAUGCAAGUCGAGCGCAUACCUUCGGGUAUGAGCGGCGGACGGGUGAGUAACGCGUAGGUCAUCUACCCUUUGGUGGGGGAUAACCCAGGGAAACUUGGGCUAAUACCGCACGAGGUCUACGGAUCAAAGCCUUCGGGCGCCAGAGGAUGAGCCUGCGUCGCAUUACCUAGUUGGCGGGGUAACGGCCCACCAAGGGGGACGAUGCGUAGCUGGUCUGAGAGGAUGAUCAGCCACACUGGGGCUGAGACACGGCCCAGACUCCUACGGGAGGCAGCAGUGGGGAAUUUUGGACAAUGGGGGCAACCCUGAUCCAGCCAUGCCGCGUGAGUGAAGAAGGCCUUCGGGUUGUAAGCGUCUUUUGGUCGGGUAGAAAGUGCCUGCUUAAUACGCGGGGU
RNAcentral lists this ribosomal RNA (422 nucleotides) under uncultured bacterium. Its description in RNAcentral is "bacterial SSU rRNA". It matches the Rfam family "Bacterial small subunit ribosomal RNA", at positions 28 to 472 of the family's 1533-position model. The record is from RNAcentral.